CCGGCUGGGGCCGCUCUGGGGUCCCUCCCACCGUACCCAAAGCCUACCAGCCCCAGUUUUAGACACUGCCGGGUCCUCCCACCCCGCUCCACGCGCCCUGCCGCGCGGAGCUCCUUCAGUCCCAGAGCCUCAGCCCGGACCCCGGCCCUGCUGCUGGCGCUUUGCUGGGGAGGAGGCGUUUGGAUUCCGGGUCGUCUCUGGGCGGUCCCACCGAAUGUCCCAAAUUGUCCCGCCCCAACCCCUAGCCUUUCUGUAGUCCCGUUGUUAGAGGAUUCCCAUUUCUGCUGUCUGCUGGACAGCCCCUGGAGCUUUCAAGGGUACCUCACACCCACACAGCCAACGUGGAACUCAACAUCCCGCAAGCAGCCGCUUUUCUCCUGGGUGCUCAGUUUGUAAGGGGAUACCACCAUCCACUCAGGUCAUCAGUGGCAGAGGAGUGUGGUGAUGCUGUUGGAGACUCUCCUUCCCUCUUGAUGGAAGCAGACAACAGGAGGGACUGGAAGAAGAAAAAGGACAUGUCGCCUCAGGCCAAAUGAGACCUCCAGUCGAAAACCAUGAUUGGUGCCUCUGCUGAGUGUGGGACAGGAAGAGUUAACAUGCUGACAGAUGGCAUUUUUUACCUUCAGUCAAUAUGAACAAGGCCCCAAGACUAUGAUUCCAAACAUCUGGAUUUCAUCAAUAUGUGAUCUGUCAUCGUAUAUUGGCAUUCCCCAGUCCCUGCGCCAGAGCAAUGCGGCUGGUUUUAUUAAUACGUCAAAUACAUUAUCCGUGUAAUACACUUGUCUGGCUGGGGCCUCCCGCUGGGGCGGGGCGGCGGAUUUGAAUGUAUGAUGAAUCAGUUUGCAUUACAUGUUCGUAAGUCAUCAUUUGUCAGGAUUAAUAGGCAUCCCUGGUCGAGGAGGUGGGGGUGGGGCAGGCAGAGGAGAGACGUGUAUUUAGCUACGGCCCAUAUUUAUCUGCCAGUACCCAGAUGCCCUGAAAACCACUGUAUACCCUCCUGCCCAGACUCCAGGGCAAUGGCUGGUGCUUGGGGGGCAGAGGUGACAUUUUCAGCAGUUCCUGAGUCACCUGGAACCAAAUAGGCCUAUUUGUCUUUGCUUUGGGCUUGCCAAACAACCAAAAAGGUUAUGGCAGGGGCCACUUGCUCAAGCUGGCUCUUACUCUCACUCUUAAGGACUCAGAACUCCUUCCUCUGGGGAGCUUUCCCCGACUCCUCCAGACUAUACUAGGUGCCUUCUCUGUGUUCCCAAAGCCUCUUGUGCCACCUCUAGUGACACCAUGUUACAAUCGCCUAUUCUGUGUCUGUCCCCCUCUUUAGACUGUAAAUUUCUUUAAAAAAAUUGUUUUUAAUGUCUAUUUAUUUUUGAGAGAGAGAGAGAGACAGAGAGACAGAGAGACAGAGUGCGAGCAGGGGAGGGGCAGAGAGAGAGGGAGACACAGAAUCUGAAGCAUGCUCUAGGUUCCGAACUGUUAGCACAGAGCCCCAUGUGGGGCUCAAACUCAUGAACUGUGGAGCUGAAGUUGGAUGCUUAACGAACUGAGCCACCCAGGCACCCCUAGACUGUGGCAUCUGGCAGAGGACAUAGCCCAAAGUAAGAAAAUCAUAAUAGUAAUAGUAGAAAUCAAUAAAUAUUCUUUGAAUGAACAAA
Molecule: long non-coding RNA, 1649 nt
Organism: Acinonyx jubatus (cheetah)
Lineage: Eukaryota; Metazoa; Chordata; Mammalia; Carnivora; Felidae
Exons: 3
Source: RefSeq, a predicted model, not a curated record